UAGGAUGCAAAUCAGAAUACUGAGUGUCUC
RNAcentral lists this non-coding RNA (30 nucleotides) under Rattus norvegicus (Norway rat). The record is from RNAcentral. Lineage: Eukaryota; Metazoa; Chordata; Mammalia; Rodentia; Muridae.